AAGUCGUAACAAGGUUUCCGUAGGUGAACCUGCGGAAGGAUCAUUAGCGAGAGCCUGCCACGGACGCAAGUCUGUGAGCAAGCGCGCCAUCCUUGUGUUGUGUGUGUUGCCUGUGCACCCGGCAGCGUCUGUGACAAUGUCUGACAAUGUCCAUGACAACGUCGUGUGCACACGCGCAUUUUCACCCAUUAUCCCAUUUAUCUAAUGCAACUGCUCAUACUGAGCACAAACAACCGAAAACUGCCAGCAAUGGAUCACUCGGUUCUC
Molecule: unclassified non-coding RNA, 267 nt
Filed under: fungal sp.
Lineage: Eukaryota; Fungi
Description: partial internal transcribed spacer region
Rfam family: Eukaryotic small subunit ribosomal RNA (bases 1-46)
Source: RNAcentral